RNAcentral lists this transfer RNA (80 nucleotides) under Micromonospora parathelypteridis. Its description in RNAcentral is "tRNA-Pyl". The record is from RNAcentral. Lineage: Bacteria; Bacillati; Actinomycetota; Actinomycetes; Micromonosporales; Micromonosporaceae.
GCCGGCGCCGGUCGGGCCGCCGGUCAGCGUGCUCUACUCGCCCGGUGUGGAGGUGGUGUUCGGCCCACCGGCGUCGGUGC